RNAcentral lists this non-coding RNA (148 nucleotides) under Pan paniscus (pygmy chimpanzee). The record is from Rfam by way of RNAcentral. RNAcentral also lists the same sequence under 1 other name. Lineage: Eukaryota; Metazoa; Chordata; Mammalia; Primates; Hominidae.
GCCGGGUGUGGUGGCACACACCUGUAGUCCCAGCUACUCUGGAGGCUGAGGCAGGGGAAUCGCUUGAACCUGGGAGGCUGAGGUUGCAGUGAGCCAAGAUCGUGCCGCUGCACUCUAGCCUGGGCAACAGAGCCAGACUCUGUCUCAA